GUCCACGCCCUAAACGAUGUCAACUAGGUGUUGGGUGGGUAAAACCAUUUAGUACCGGAGCUAACGCGUGAAGUUGACCGCCUGGGGAGUACGGCCGCAAGGUUAAAACUCAAAGGAAUUGACGGGGACCCGCACAAGCGGUGGAUGAUGUGGAUUAAUUCGAUGCAACGCGAAAAACCUUACCUACCCUUGACAUGUCCAGAAUCCCUGAGAGAUUGGGGAGUGCCUUCGGGAACUGGAACACAGGUGCUGCAUGGCU
Molecule: ribosomal RNA, 259 nt
Filed under: uncultured bacterium
Lineage: Bacteria
Description: partial 16S ribosomal RNA
Rfam family: Bacterial small subunit ribosomal RNA
Source: RNAcentral